Molecule: ribosomal RNA, 253 nt
Filed under: uncultured bacterium
Lineage: Bacteria
Description: partial 16S ribosomal RNA
Rfam family: Bacterial small subunit ribosomal RNA
Source: RNAcentral
UACGGAGGGUGCGAGCGUUAAUCGGAAUAACUGGGCGUAAAGCGCACGCAGGCGGUCAUACAAGCUAGAUGUGAAAGCCCCGGGCUCAACCUGGGAUGGUCAUUUAGAACUGUAUGACUAGAGUUUUGUAGAGGGGGGUGGAAUUCCAGGUGUAGCGGUGAAAUGCGUAGAUAUCUGGAGGAACAUCAGUGGCGAAGGCGACCCCCUGGACAAAGACUGACGCUCAUGUGCGAAAGUGUGGGUAGCGAACAGG